Molecule: ribosomal RNA, 253 nt
Filed under: uncultured bacterium
Lineage: Bacteria
Description: partial 16S ribosomal RNA
Rfam family: Bacterial small subunit ribosomal RNA
Source: RNAcentral
UACGUAGGGUGCAAGCGUUGUCCGGAAUUAUUGGGCGUAAAGAGCUCGUAGGCGGUCUGUCGCGUCGGCUGUGAAAUCCCGAGGCUCAACCUCGGGUCUGCAGUCGAUACGGGCAAACUAGAGUAUUGCAGGGGAGACUGGAAUUCCUGGUGUAGCGGUGAAAUGCGCAGAUAUCAGGAGGAACACCGGUGGCGAAGGCGGGUCUCUGGGCAAUAACUGACGCUGAGGAGCGAAAGCGUGGGGAGCGAAUAGG